This 645-nucleotide small RNA is filed under the name Arabidopsis thaliana (thale cress). RNAcentral describes it as "ATSL047880". Lineage: Eukaryota; Viridiplantae; Streptophyta; Magnoliopsida; Brassicales; Brassicaceae. The record is from RNAcentral.
UGACGUUUCUUCUAGGUUGGAAUUGGACAGAGGACAACUUGGUAAUGUUUGUACCGAGGUUUUAACAAUAAGUAACUAAGGAGUUUGAGGAGAACGGAGUAGAUUUUUUAUUAACGAUGAAGGAGAACAAUAAAAUUACAGAACGAAAAACCAAAAAUGCAGAACGGAGAACCGAAAGUACAUAACGGAAAAUCAGGAAAUAUAUAAUGGAGAACCAAAAGGACAAAACGGAGAACCGAACGUACAGAAUGAGAAACCUGAAAAUACAGAACAGAGAACCGAACGUACAGAACGGAAAACCAGAAAGUAAAAGAUAAAGAGCUAGACAACAAUUCUCUCUUAAAUUCUACGAAUAAUAACUUUAAGUCUGAAUCCCUUUUCUCAAUAGUGUCUUCUACUAUUAUAGGUGACCUAAAAUUUCCUUUGUCUCUCUUGCGAUUUCUCCUUUUUAUCCCUUCGAAUAUGUCGAGUUAAGCCGAACCAAGAUGGGCCGAGCUGAUAUAUCACUGGGCCAAGCAGAAUUUUUGUUGGGCCGAGCCGUUGCCAUGAUGGGUCAUUGUUCUGAUGGGCUGUUUUUCCAUGUUAGCAACUUGUUUGACUUAAUUAAUCUUUGUUUGGGCCAAAUUAGGCAUGGAAGGCAAAGCC